Molecule: microRNA precursor, 90 nt
Organism: Lupinus angustifolius (narrow-leaved blue lupine)
Lineage: Eukaryota; Viridiplantae; Streptophyta; Magnoliopsida; Fabales; Fabaceae
Rfam family: mir-166 microRNA precursor family
About the family: This family represents the plant microRNA (miRNA) precursor mir-166. Animal miRNAs are transcribed as ~70nt precursors and subsequently processed by the Dicer enzyme to give a ~22nt product.
Source: Rfam
GUUGAGGGGAAUGUUGUCUAGUUCGAGACCAUUCUUUUGAAGUGAAAAAUAUCAGUAAAUGAUUUCGAAUCAGACUUCAUUCCCCUUAAC